AUGUGACAACCGUCAAUUUUCGGUCAAGCCAAAGUCAACAAAAGUCAACAAGUCAAACCGGUCAACCCAAUUUGCCGUGAGUACUAGAGUUUACGUUAAGUAACUUCUAAACAACUCUCUAUUCUAAUGAGAGGUCAUAAAUUGAAAAGUGCGUUCACCUAAAUCUCCUUAACCUGAAACGGUGGUACGUAGAAAGCCAAACCGAUACGACAAUGUUACAUACUCAUCGGGAGUAUGCAAGAUCCCUAAUCAAGGCUUAACUGGGUUUACGGACCUUGCAGUGCGUAGCCGGACACUCAGAAAGGUCACCAGUGAAACCUCUCCCACAUAUCUCUAAGUAUGUGAAACCUCUCCCACAUAUCUCUAAGUAUGUGAAACCUCUCCCAUAUAUCUCUAAGUAUGUGAAACCUCUCCCAUAUAUCUCUAAGUAUGUGAAACCUCUCCC
RNAcentral lists this long non-coding RNA (445 nucleotides) under Lactuca sativa (garden lettuce). RNAcentral's name for it is "long non-coding RNA (LSAT_LNC001302)". Lineage: Eukaryota; Viridiplantae; Streptophyta; Magnoliopsida; Asterales; Asteraceae. The record is from RNAcentral.